UUUCCGUAGGUGAACCUGCGGAAGGAUCAUUACUAAGUAUCGUUUUUGCAGGCCCGACCUUCCAUCCUGUGUUUGUGUGACCUGUUUGCCGUUGUGGUCGUGAUGCCGGCAGAUGCCGCCGUCAGUUCUGCACUGUAUGCCUGUGCACUUCUAUGACUACCUAACUAACAUAGUACUCUUAUCGUCGGAUUUAAUGGAUAAAAUUAUGAAGAACUACGUACAACAUCUAACGAGGUCUCGCCUGCCACCAAGAACCACAGAUAGCGCGCGAACACGGUCUCAAAUGCCUUACAAACUCGUCCGACGGUAACCGCAGCCGAGAUGCAGAAGAAAGGCAUACCAUGGUAGAUGUUGUUUACCCGGCCCAUGCAGCUUUUGUAAUUAUGGUUUUUUUCACUUUUGAAGCCCGGUUCCAUGAUGUGUCCCCUGUCACCCACCUUUUUAAUCAUGACCCCGUUACUAGACCUAUUUUAUUCUCUGUGUGCCUGAAAUCUAAUUGAUAAAAUAUAAUCAAAUAAAACUUUCAACAACGGAUCUCUUGGCUCUC
This 547-nucleotide unclassified non-coding RNA is filed under the name plant metagenome. Its description in RNAcentral is "partial contains small subunit ribosomal RNA, internal transcribed spacer 1, and 5.8S ribosomal RNA". The record is from RNAcentral.